Molecule: transfer RNA, 64 nt
Filed under: Taenia sp. MZH:127052
Lineage: Eukaryota; Metazoa; Platyhelminthes; Cestoda; Cyclophyllidea; Taeniidae
Description: tRNA-Val
Source: RNAcentral
UGUGAAGUAGUUUAUUAAAAAUACUUGUUUUACACUCAAGUGAACUCUUUGUUGAGCUUUACUA